This 496-nucleotide ribosomal RNA is filed under the name Diaporthe sp. FLS-2010. Its description in RNAcentral is "eukaryotic LSU rRNA". The stretch from base 174 to 327 matches the Rfam family "5.8S ribosomal RNA". The record is from RNAcentral. Lineage: Eukaryota; Fungi; Ascomycota; Sordariomycetes; Diaporthales; Diaporthaceae.
UUGGAACGCGCCCCGGCGCACCCAGAAACCCUUUGUGAACUUAUACCUUAUUGUUGCUCGGCGAAGGCCGGCCUCUCUUCUGAGGCCCCCCGGAGACGGGGAGCAGCCCGCCGGCGGCCAACCAAACUCUUGUUUCUUAGUGAAUCUCUGAGUAAAAAACAUAAAUGAAUCAAAACUUUCAACAACGGAUCUCUUGGUUCUGGCAUCGAUGAAGAACGCAGCGAAAUGCGAUAAGUAAUGUGAAUUGCAGAAUUCAGUGAAUCAUCGAAUCUUUGAACGCACAUUGCGCCCUCUGGUAUUCCGGAGGGCAUGCCUGUUCGAGCGUCAUUUCAACCCUCAAGCCUGGCUUGGUGUUGGGGCACUGCUUCGAGAGAAGCAGGCCCUGAAAUCUAGUGGCGAGCUCGCUAGGACCCCGAGCGUAGUAGUUAUAUCUCGUUCUGGAAGGCCCUGGCGGUGCCCUGCCGUUAAACCCCCAACUUCUGAAAUUUUGACCUCG